RNAcentral lists this microRNA (23 nucleotides) under Danio rerio (zebrafish). RNAcentral's name for it is "Dre-Mir-31_3p* (star (passenger))". Lineage: Eukaryota; Metazoa; Chordata; Actinopteri; Cypriniformes; Danionidae. The record is from RNAcentral.
UGCUAUGCCUCCAUAUUGCCAUU